Long non-coding RNA from Populus nigra (black poplar), 1745 nucleotides. RefSeq lists it as uncharacterized. Lineage: Eukaryota; Viridiplantae; Streptophyta; Magnoliopsida; Malpighiales; Salicaceae. The transcript has 2 exons. The record is from RefSeq and is a predicted model, not a curated record.
CUUUUUCUCUCUUCUUUGUGGCAUUCAGUACGCUGUGUCUACUCUCUCUCUUCUGAGUUCUGCCACAAGAAGAAAAGUCUUUUGCAAACCAUGCUAGACGAGACCACCCCGGGAUCCCGCGCCAAAAUUAUAACCCACGCCACUCCCUUCCAAUCCUGCCUGACACAAUAGCGUGUCAGCGUGCCCUCUUUUCUUGAUCCAACGGACUGCAUUGAGAAGAGAAAUGAAGGGCAAGGAUGUUGCCAGAAGUGUUGAUAGGUAAAGUCUUUAGGGUUUCUGUCCACUGCCCACUUGUUAUCAGCGUCGAAAGAUAGAGAAGGAAGGGUUUUUGGGUAAAAGAAAAUUGGGGGCUUCACGAGAGAGAGAGAGCAAGGAUUAUUCGCAAGGGUUUAAGAGAAAUGGAUGCUGGAGUGAGGUUUCAAAGGAGGAAAGCAGAAGUUAUGGCAGAACAAAGACAAACCUUGGGUUUAGCAAGCAGAUGCUGCCAGUUGCAAAGCAGGAGGAUUUUAGCAGAUCUUGUUUAGGUGGAUUCCAUCUGUAUUUGGACUGUCACCGGGAGAUGAGACUCUCAUAUCAUGCACAGCAACUCCUACGCAGUUGUCAAACUUGAGGUGGCAUUGCGGGCUGUUUUGAAUUGUUAUGCCUGUGACUGUCACAUUGAAACUUCCAUAAAAUCUCAGUGCCUGCAAAAAGAAAGCAUGUCAAUCAUGUUAUAAAGUGCGUGCUCAUGAAUUGCGAUAGAAAUCUUCAUGAAGUCCAUACUGUGGGCUUGAUGCUUGGCAUUUUCCCGUCGAGCUCGUUUCUUAUCUGCAACACAAUUCAGAAAAGAGGCAUGAUCAGAUUGAUAGAUACUGCAGAUAAUAAUUGCAGUGGAAGGUACAAAUUGAAGCCAAUUACCGGCAUUGGUGGGUGUUGUUGUACUGUGUUGUUCAGUGGAAUAAUGAGUUCCGAUUCACUGUCUAUAGGAUCUUCAAAUGGGUAGUCUUGCCACCAUACUGAGCCACUCCCAUCUAUGGUGCCUUUUCCCUGAAUUGUGAUUCCGACAAGCUUGGUGAAUUCAAGCCACUGCAAGAGACCUCUACCCCAAGCAUUGGCGUUUGAUGGGGCAAUAAUUGUGCCAUCCAACUGAGAAAAAAAAUUCAUCGUAUCAUCAUUCAUUAACAUGAAUUACUGUCGUUUUCUCUGCUAACAAAUUCUGUAUUUGACACUUACUUGAAAUACAAUGUUUGCUUGGCAGUACGGACCAGAGAAAGAAAUAGGUCCCACGAGGAAUGCAUAUUCUGCUGGAACAAUCAUCGUUGAUGCUGCCACUUUACAAGCUGCUGCCCAUGCAGCUUGGAAUGCCUGCGUAGCACCGUAACUCUAUGUCAACCAACUGUAUAGUAACUGUAUACAAUUAUUGUUCAUUUUUAAGGAAUGGACCCCACCUUGGGGUGGUUCUGCUGUCUUUUCCUUUGUAUUAUUUGUCGGUGUUUUGGAGCUGUUUCAAUGUGUAAUUCUGUAAUUUUGGUGAAAUCAAUUUGGUGCACAGCAUUGCUGCAAGAACUGUGGAGUGGAGCAAAUAACUCACGAGUCAUGGCUGGUGGGGACGGAUGGGGAUUUAAGGUAAGGAGAGAAUUAGUCCAGUUAUGUAAUUUUGAAAAUUUAAUUGACCUUUGGAAUUGUAUGAACCAAAGAAAAAAAAAUGUAUUGAAUGCAGCUGUAAUGUACUCUUGGAAUCAUCGAGAAUUUUGUUUUUGGUGUUU